Molecule: ribosomal RNA, 221 nt
Filed under: uncultured bacterium
Lineage: Bacteria
Description: partial 16S ribosomal RNA
Rfam family: Bacterial small subunit ribosomal RNA
Source: RNAcentral
UACGGUCUCAGUUCAGAUUGCAGGCUGCAACUCGCCUGCAUGAAGUUGGAAUUGCUAGUAAUCGCGAAUCAGAAUGUCGCGGUGAAUACGUUCCCGGGCCUUGUACACACCGCCCGUCACACCAUGAGAGUCGAUAACACCCGAAGCCUGUGAGCUAACCUUUUAGGAGGCAGCAGUCGAAGGUGGGGUUGAUGAUUGGGGUGAAGUCGUAACAAGGUAUC